This 502-nucleotide ribosomal RNA is filed under the name uncultured bacterium. RNAcentral's name for it is "partial 16S ribosomal RNA". It matches the Rfam family "Bacterial small subunit ribosomal RNA", at positions 30 to 523 of the family's 1533-position model. The record is from RNAcentral.
AUUGAACGCUGGCGGUAUGCUUAACACAUGCAAGUCGAACGGCAGCACGGUCUGUAGUAGUACAGAUGGGUGGCGAGUGGCGGACGGGUGAGUAAUACGCAGGAAUCUGCCCUAUAGAGGGGGAUAACUCGAGGAAACUCGAGCUAAUACCGCAUAGUCGCUACGGAGUAAAGCUGGGGCAACCUGGCGCUAUAGGAGGCGCCUGCGUCUGAUUAGAUAGUUGGUGGGGUAAAGGCCUACCAAGGCGACGAUCAGUAGGUGGUCUGAGAGGAUGAUCACCCACACUGGGACUGAGACACGGCCCAGACUCCUACGGGAGGCAGCAGUGGGGAAUAUUGGACAAUGGGGGCAACCCUGAUCCAGCAAUACCGCGUGUGUGAAGAAGGCCUUAGGGUUGUAAAGCACUUUAGGCGGGGAAGAAGGUAUGUAUUUUAAGAGAUAACAUAUUUGACGGUACCCGCAGAAUAAGCACCGGCUAACUCUGUGCCAGCAGCCGCCGUAA